RNAcentral lists this ribosomal RNA (498 nucleotides) under uncultured bacterium. Its description in RNAcentral is "bacterial SSU rRNA". It matches the Rfam family "Bacterial small subunit ribosomal RNA", at positions 28 to 520 of the family's 1533-position model. The record is from RNAcentral.
GAUGAACGCUAGCGGCAGGCUUAACACAUGCAAGUCGAGGGGUAUAGUUCUUCGGAAUUAGAGACCGGCGCACGGGUGCGUAACGCGUAUGCAAUCUACCUUUCACAGAGGGAUAGCCCCAGAGAAAUUUGGAUUAAUACCUCAUAGUAUAGCAGUUUCGCAUGAAACCACUAUUAAAGUCACAACGGUGAAAGAUGAGCAUGCGUCCCAUUAGCUAGUUGGUAAGGUAACGGCUUACCAAGGCAACGAUGGGUAGGGUCCUGAGAGGGAGAUCCCCCACACUGGUACUGAGACACGGACCAGACUCCUACGGGAGGCAGCAGUGAGGAAUAUUGGACAAUGGGCGCAAGCCUGAUCCAGCCAUGCCGCGUGCAGGAUGACGGUCCUAUGGAUUGUAAACUGCUUUUGUACGGAACGAAACGGUCCGCUUUAAUACAGUGGGCUAAUGACGGUACCGUAAGAAUAAGCACCGGCUAACUACGUGCCAGCAGCCGACGG